Molecule: ribosomal RNA, 386 nt
Filed under: uncultured bacterium
Lineage: Bacteria
Description: bacterial SSU rRNA
Rfam family: Bacterial small subunit ribosomal RNA
Source: RNAcentral
CGUGUGGGCUUAGCGAGAGUACCUGAAGAAAAAGCAUCGGCUAACUCCGUGCCAGCAGCCGCGGUAAUACGGAGGAUGCGAGCGUUAUCCGGAUUUAUUGGGUUUAAAGGGUGCGUAGGCGGAAUAUCAAGUCAGCGGUAAAAAUUCGGGGCUCAACCCCGUCGUGCCGUUGAAACUGAUGUUCUUGAGUGGGCGAGAAGUAUGCGGAAUGCGUGGUGUAGCGGUGAAAUGCAUAGAUAUCACGCAGAACUCCGAUUGCGAAGGCAGCAUACCGGCGCCCAACUGACGCUGAAGCACGAAAGCGUGGGUAUCGAACAGGAUUAGAUACCCUGGUAGUCCACGCAGUAAACGAUGAAUGCUAAUUGUCCGGAGGGAUUGACCUCUGG